GAGUUUGAACCUGGCUCAGGAUAAACGCUGGCGGCGCACAUAAGACAUGCAAGUCGAACGGACUUAACCGAAGUAUUUAUAUUUUGGAGCGGUUAGUGGCGGACUGGUGAGUAACACGUAAGCAACCUGCCUAUUAGAGGGGAAUAACAGUGAGAAAUCAUUGCUAAUACCGCAUAUGCUGUGAGUAUCGCAUGGUACAAACAGGUAAGGAGCAAUCCGCUAAUAGAUGGGCUUGCGUCUGAUUAGAUAGUUGGUGGGGUAAUGGCCUACCAAGUCGACGAUCAGUAGCCGAACUGAGAGGUUGAACGGCCACAUUGGGACUGAGAUACGGCCCAGACUCCUACGGGAGGCAGCAGUCGGGAAUAUUGCACAAUGGAGGAAACUCUGAUGCAGUGACGCCGCGUGCAGGAAGAAGGUUUUCGGAUUGUAAACUGCUUUAGAUAGGGAAGGAAAAAGACAGUACCUAUAGAAUAAGCUCCGGCUAACUACGUGCCAG
RNAcentral lists this ribosomal RNA (496 nucleotides) under uncultured bacterium. RNAcentral describes it as "bacterial SSU rRNA". It matches the Rfam family "Bacterial small subunit ribosomal RNA", at positions 9 to 511 of the family's 1533-position model. The record is from RNAcentral.